This 392-nucleotide ribosomal RNA is filed under the name uncultured bacterium. Its description in RNAcentral is "bacterial SSU rRNA". It matches the Rfam family "Bacterial small subunit ribosomal RNA", at positions 355 to 764 of the family's 1533-position model. The record is from RNAcentral.
UCGGGAAUUUUGGGCAAUGGGCGAAAGCCUGACCCAGCAACGCCGCGUGAGGGAUGAAGUAUUUCGGUAUGUAAACCUCGAAAGAAUGGGAAGAAUAAAUGACGAUACCAUUUAUAAGCUCCGGCUAACUACGUGCCAGCAGCCGCGGUAAUACGUAGGGAGCAAGCGUUGUUCGGAUUUACCGGGCGUAAAGGGCGCGUAGGCGGCGCGGUAAGUCACUUGUGAAAUCUCUGAGCUUAACUCAGAACGUCCAAGUGAUACUGCUGUGCAAGAGGUCGGAAGAGGCAACCGGAAUUCUUGGUGUAGCGGUGAAAUGCGUAGAUAUCAAGAGUUACACCUGAGGCGAAGGCGGGUUGCUGGGCCGACACUGCCGCUGAUGCGCGAAAGCCAGG